This 22-nucleotide small nuclear RNA is filed under the name Arabidopsis thaliana (thale cress). RNAcentral describes it as "snRNA_16194". The record is from RNAcentral. Lineage: Eukaryota; Viridiplantae; Streptophyta; Magnoliopsida; Brassicales; Brassicaceae.
GGCGCAAGUGAAAUACCACUAC